RNAcentral lists this ribosomal RNA (680 nucleotides) under Arcicella sp. Its description in RNAcentral is "bacterial SSU rRNA". It matches the Rfam family "Bacterial small subunit ribosomal RNA", at positions 60 to 748 of the family's 1533-position model. The record is from RNAcentral. Lineage: Bacteria; Pseudomonadati; Bacteroidota; Cytophagia; Cytophagales; Flectobacillaceae.
AGUCGAACGGUGAUAGCAAUAUCAUAGUGGCGCACGGGUGCGUAACACGUAUGCAACCUACCUUAUACUUAGGGAUAGCCUUUGGAAACGGAGAUUAAUACCUAAUAGUACAUUUGACUGGCAUCGGUUGACUGUUAAAGAUUUAUUGGUAUAAGAUGGGCAUGCGUCCAAUUAGUUAGUUGGUGAGGUAAUGGCUCACCAAGACGAUGAUUGGUAGGGGAACUGAGAGGUUAAUCCCCCACACUGGCACUGAGAUACGGGCCAGACUCCUACGGGAGGCAGCAGUAGGGAAUAUUGGGCAAUGGAGGGAACUCUGACCCAGCCAUGCCGCGUGCAGGAUGAAGGCGUUAUGCGUUGUAAACUGCUUUUAUAUAGGAAGAAAUAGUCCUUGCGAGGAAAGUUGACGGUACUAUAUGAAUAAGCACCGGCUAACUCCGUGCCAGCAGCCGCGGUAAUACGGAGGGUGCAAGCGUUGUCCGGAUUUAUUGGGUUUAAAGGGUGCGUAGGCGGUUUAUUAAGUCAGUGGUGAAAGACGGUCGCUCAACGAUUGCAGUGCCAUUGAUACUGGUAGACUUGAGUAUGAUUGAGGUAGCUGGAAUGGAUAGUGUAGCGGUGAAAUGCAUAGAUAUUAUCCAGAACACCAAUUGCGUAGGCAAGUUACUAAGUCAUAACUGACGCUG